Molecule: ribosomal RNA, 274 nt
Filed under: uncultured bacterium
Lineage: Bacteria
Description: partial 16S ribosomal RNA
Rfam family: Bacterial small subunit ribosomal RNA
Source: RNAcentral
AUACGGAGGGUGCAAGCGUUAAUCGGAAUUACUGGGCGUAAAGCGCGCGUAGGCGGCUCGAUAAGUCGGAUGUGAAAGCCCCGGGCUCAACCUGGGAACUGCAUUCGAAACUGCCGAGCUAGAGUUUGAUAGAGGAGAGUGGAAUUCCACAUGUAGCGGUGAAAUGCGUAGAUAUGUGGAGGAACACCAGUGGCGAAGGCGGCUCUCUGGAUCAAAACUGACGCUGAGGUGCGAAAGCGUGGGUAGCAAACAGGAUUAGAAACCCGAGUAGUCC